RNAcentral lists this ribosomal RNA (825 nucleotides) under uncultured Bacillota bacterium. Its description in RNAcentral is "bacterial SSU rRNA". It matches the Rfam family "Bacterial small subunit ribosomal RNA", at positions 1 to 859 of the family's 1533-position model. Lineage: Bacteria; Bacillati; Bacillota. The record is from RNAcentral.
GCCUUAGAGUUUGAUCUGGCUCAGGAUGAACGCUGGCGGCGUGCUAACACAUGCAAGUCGAGCGAUUUACUUCGGUAAAGAGCGGCGGACGGGUGAGUAACGCGUGGGUAACAUGCCCUAUACACACGGAUAACAUACCGAAAGGUAUGCUAAUACGAGAUAACAUAAGGAAUUCGCAUGGGUUUCUUAUCAAAGUUUUUGCGGUAUAGGAUGGACCCGCGUCUGAUUAGCUAGUCGGUAAGGUAACGGCUUACCAAGGCGACGAUCAGUAGCCGACCUGAGAGGGUGAUCGGCCACAUUGGAACUGAGACACGGUCCAAACUCCUACGGGAGGCAGCAGUGGGGAAUAUUGCACAAUGGGCGAAAGCCUGAUGCAGCAACGCCGCGUGAGUGAUGAAGGCCUUCGGGUCGUAAAGCUCUGUCCUUAAGGAAGAUAAUGACGGUACUUGAGGAGGAAGCCCCGGCUAACUACGUGCCAGCAGCCGCGGUAAUACGUAGGGGGCUAGCGUUAUCCGGAAUUACUGGGCGUAAAGGGUGCGUAGGUGGUUUCUUAAGUCAGAGGUGAAAGGCUACGGCUCAACCGUAGUAAGCCUUUGAAACUGAGAAACUUGAGUGCAGGAGAGGAGAGUAGAAUUCCUAGUGUAGCGGUGAAAUGCGUAGAUAUUAGGAGGAAUACCAGUUGCGAAGGCGGCUCUCUGGACUGUAACUGACACUGAGGCACGAAAGCGUGGGGAGCAAACAGGAUUAGAUACCCUGGUAGUCCACGCCGUAAACGAUGAGUACUAGCUGUCGGAGGUUACCCCCUUCGGUGGCGCAGCUAACGCA